RNAcentral lists this ribosomal RNA (490 nucleotides) under uncultured bacterium. Its description in RNAcentral is "partial 16S ribosomal RNA". It matches the Rfam family "Bacterial small subunit ribosomal RNA", at positions 30 to 507 of the family's 1533-position model. The record is from RNAcentral.
AUUGAACGCUGGCGGCAGGCCUAACACAUGCAAGUCGAACGGUAACAAGAAGAAGCUUUCUUCUUUGCUGACGAGUGGCGGACGGGUGGGUAAUUUCUGGGAAACUGCCUGAUGGAGGGGGUUAACUACUGGAAGCGGUAGCUAAUCCCGCAUAACGUCGCAAGACCAAAGAGGAUGAGCUUCGGGCCUCUUGUCAUCGGAUGUGCCCAGAUGAGAUUAGUUAGUAGGUGGUGUAACGGAUCACCUAGGCGAAGAACCAUAACUGGUGUGAGAGGUUGACGAGCCACACUGGAAGGGAGACACGGUCCAGACACAUACGGGAGGCAGGAGUGGGGAAUAUUGAACAAUGGGCGCAAGACUGACUCAGCCAGGCCGCGUGUAUGAAGAAGGCCUGCGGGUUGUAAAGUACUUUCAGUGGGGAGGAAGAGAGAAAAGGUAAUACCAGAGCUUAUUGACGUUACCCGCAGAAGAAGAACCGGCUAACUCCGUG